Molecule: ribosomal RNA, 253 nt
Filed under: uncultured bacterium
Lineage: Bacteria
Description: partial 16S ribosomal RNA
Rfam family: Bacterial small subunit ribosomal RNA
Source: RNAcentral
UACGUAGGGGGCAAGCGUUGUCCGGAAUUAUUGGGCGUAAAGGGUGCGUAGGCGGCGCGGUAAGUCGGAUGUGAAAUCUCGGAGCUUAACUCCGAAACUGCAUUCGAUACUGCCGUGCUUGAGGACUGGAGAGGAGACUGGAAUUUACGGUGUAGCGGUGAAAUGCGUAGAUAUCGUAAGGAAGACCGGUGGCGAAGGCGGGUCUCUGGACAGUUCCUGACGCUGAGGCACGAAGGCCAGGGGAGCAAACGGG